GGCUCGGUAGCUUAGUUGGUAAAGCACUUGUCUUGCAUACAAGAGUCGUGGGUUCGAAUCUCACCUAAGCUC
RNAcentral lists this transfer RNA (72 nucleotides) under Aedes aegypti (yellow fever mosquito). It matches the Rfam family "tRNA". Rfam says of the family: Transfer RNA (tRNA) molecules are approximately 80 nucleotides in length. Their secondary structure includes four short double-helical elements and three loops (D, anti-codon, and T loops). Further hydrogen bonds mediate the characteristic L-shaped molecular structure. tRNAs have two regions of fundamental functional importance: the anti-codon, which is responsible for specific mRNA codon recognition, and the 3' end, to which the tRNAs corresponding amino acid is attached (by aminoacyl-tRNA synthetases). tRNAs cope with the degeneracy of the genetic code in two manners: having more than one tRNA (with a specific anti-codon) for a particular amino acid; and 'wobble' base-pairing, i.e. permitting non-standard base-pairing at the 3rd anti-codon position. The record is from Rfam by way of RNAcentral. Lineage: Eukaryota; Metazoa; Arthropoda; Insecta; Diptera; Culicidae.